This 74-nucleotide transfer RNA is filed under the name Stigeoclonium sp. HB201635. RNAcentral describes it as "tRNA-Met". It matches the Rfam family "tRNA". From Rfam's summary of the family: Transfer RNA (tRNA) molecules are approximately 80 nucleotides in length. Their secondary structure includes four short double-helical elements and three loops (D, anti-codon, and T loops). Lineage: Eukaryota; Viridiplantae; Chlorophyta; Chlorophyceae; Chaetophorales; Chaetophoraceae. The record is from RNAcentral.
UGCUGGGUAGAGCAGUCUGGUAGCUUGUGGGGCUCAUAACCCUAAGGUCGUAGGUUCGAAUCCUACCCCAGCCA